This 253-nucleotide ribosomal RNA is filed under the name uncultured bacterium. Its description in RNAcentral is "partial 16S ribosomal RNA". It matches the Rfam family "Bacterial small subunit ribosomal RNA", at positions 524 to 776 of the family's 1533-position model. The record is from RNAcentral.
UACAGAGGGUGCGAGCGUUAAUCGGAAUUACUGGGCGUAAAGCGCGCGUAGGCGGUUGUGUAAGUUGGAGGUGAAAUCCCCGGGCUUAACCUGGGCACUGCCUUCAAAACUGCACGGCUAGAGUAUGGGAGAGGAAGGUAGAAUUCCAGGUGUAGCGGUGAAAUGCGUAGAGAUCUGGAGGAAUACCGAUGGCGAAGGCAGCCUUCUGGCCUAAUACUGACGCUGAGGUGCGAAAGCAUGGGGAGCAAACAGG